GGAAUAUAAGAAUCCAUUUUUUAACUUUUAACGGAAAAAAUUAAGAACCGACUCUUAAAACUCUUAUUUAAGAACCGGUUCUUAACUUUUUUAGUUAAAAGUUAAGAGACGGGUUCUUAUAUUUC
Non-coding RNA from Brassica napus (rape), 125 nucleotides. NCBI's taxonomy places the organism in Eukaryota, Viridiplantae, Streptophyta, Magnoliopsida, Brassicales, Brassicaceae. The record is from Rfam.